GUUGAGAGGGGACUGCCGGUCGUCUGCCUCUUCUCCUCGUGGUCUUUCCCUUUGCAGCCUUCCUUCCCCCAAACCCACUGGACAUGGCCUUGGAACCCACAUAGCUUCCAGUUCCAGGCCGCAAGACUCCCCACUGCUCACACCCACCUUCUCCACCCAGCACCAAACAGCUGAAAAGCUGCUCAGACCUCGAAACCUACUCUAACAUAGAAGAUGUCUAGAAGCCAGUUGGGGUCAAGAAACAGGCCUCUACCUACAUUUAUGUGGGUAAAUGAAGUCACAGCACAAAUCACCUACCCCACAUGGAAGGCAGAUCCUCCUGCGCCACCUGCUUCUCUGCUGAGCCUGAGAUGUGGACCCCUAUCUGGAUGUGGGGCUAGGGAGGUGGCUCCUCCCUGUCUCACAGGCCCACCUCUUGUCCCCGCACAGACAUUGAGUCCCGCGGCGCCCCCUGCUGCUGCCUCCCCGAGAAAUAGUGCUCCAAGGAGCCCUGGCGCUGGCCAGGUGCCUGCUGCUCUCAAGAGCCCUCCGUCUCUGCCAGACACGGGCACCCCACUCUCUCCAUUUCCAGGCCUUCCCCCACCAUGUAGGCCGUUGGCACCACCCCCUCAGCCACUAAGCUCUCCAUUUCCCUCCCCCCAAGGCACACUCCCGGCCCGAGGGCUUUCCUACUUUUAUGAUUUGUCCACAAAGGUGACAUCCUUCAGCCCCCAGAAAGUCGUCUUCCAGGCUGUUUACAGGACCCUACAUAGGGUCUUCAGAGGCUUUCAGCCUAACACAAAUCAUGACCUGGUUUGACCUUUAAAAUGUCUCAAAAUCUAAUAUUG
Ceratotherium simum simum (southern white rhinoceros) is the source of this 827-nucleotide non-coding RNA. The record is from RefSeq and is a predicted model, not a curated record. Lineage: Eukaryota; Metazoa; Chordata; Mammalia; Perissodactyla; Rhinocerotidae.